Molecule: ribosomal RNA, 253 nt
Filed under: uncultured bacterium
Lineage: Bacteria
Description: partial 16S ribosomal RNA
Rfam family: Bacterial small subunit ribosomal RNA
Source: RNAcentral
UACGAAGGGGGCUAGCGUUGUUCGGAAUUACUGGGCGUAAAGCGCGCGCAGGCGGCUAUCCAAGUCAGUGGUGAAAGCCCGGAGCUCAACUCCGGAACUGCCAUUGAAACUGUUUAGCUUGAGGAUGAGAGAGGUGAGUGGAGUUCCCAGUGUAGAGGUGAAAUUCGUAGAUAUUGGGAAGAACACCGGUGGCGAAGGCGGCUCACUGGCUCAUUACUGACGCUCAGGCGCGAUAGCGUGGGGAUCAAACAGG